GAGCACAAACAGGGACCCUUCAGGCUCACAAAGUUAAAUUUUUAUUUAUUUUUUUUUUUUUCAGAAACCAAAGUGAAGGGGUGGACAUAUGGAUGCUUUGGAUACUGUCUAAUACAGCAUCAAGAUAGAGCUGAAGCUUACACCCAGCCCUGGUUAACUAACUUUAUGGUUCUCAUGACAUGAAUCAAAAAAUAGCUUUAAGAUAGCUGCAUGGAUACUCCUCUUACUAAUUGUUUUCUAUGAUCAAUAAAAACAUAGAGAUGUUGCAACCCAAGUACCCAAGUGAAGACAAAGCUCCAUCUGAGGAUGCCUUGGGUUCCAGAAGGUUCAGGUUCACAGCAUGAGCUUGGAGACUGGCUGUUGAGAAAAUACUGGCUGGUGAAAUAUUCUUCUCUCAAGAGGCUUGGUCGAUCGUCUCCCUUUUCCCUCAUCUGCUGGUAUAUCACACUGGAAAAGCAUCUCCUCUCUGCUGGAAAAACCUCUGACUACCUUGUAUUCUAGGACAGAAAGCCCCAAAUGGCAUCAAACUGGUCAGCUCCAGCUCGGUAUUCCCAGCCAGAUGUUCCUCAGGGGGCCAGGGGGUGUCCCCACAACAGCUGGGGACCGUAAGGCACCUGCACGGAAGCUGCAGGGCCUCUCCCAGUGACCCCAGCUGCAGGAGCACUGCUGUUUGCUGGGGCUCUGGAAUGUUCCUCACCCAGCUGUGCUCCGCUGGACGCUUCCCAGUGGACUGGAAGAGGAGUGCUGACAGCAUGGUGACACUAACCUUGGCCAGCUGACAACCCAAAGUUGCCUCCACACACCCUGGAUUGGACCCAUUGUCCUUCCUUUGACCCUCAGCUCCUUCCUCUGGCUCUGAGUAAUGUGUGUAAGCAAUCCCAGCCAUUCCAAUAUAUUUUUUGCCUAGUUUUCUUCUAGUAGAGAAGAUAUUCCUCUUUCACUGCUCAUUGUCAGAUUUGUCUUCUAAAGAAGCAGACACAUCUGGUGGGGAGUUGGUGAGCCUGAGCUCAUGCACUGGGAAAGGUUCAUGGAAUAUUCAAUACUUCUCAGGUAACUUGGGACAGAAACCUCCUCACACCUGGAGGAUUCCCUUUCCAGCAUCUGAACAAAACACACCUGCUGAAGAGCAGGUUCCUACGCUGGAUCCACAAACCCGACACGCCUGGGGCUUGUCCUCUUGUAUAAUACAAAAGAAAAGGCAGAAAAAUUCUUUAGUGAGCACUGAAUUCCCCAGGAGAAUAUGGCUGAACUUGUCUGCAAGCAAGUCACUGCUGUUUGCAUACUCUGCCUCAGAUUCACCCUCCCCAGUCCAUCUAAAGCUGCCUGGCCCAGGGAAGGAUGCGGUUUGUCAGAAUUGCGGCACCUGGGCAAGGAAGAGCUUUGUGCACAGAGGUCUGGGGCUGGCUUUAGGGAUUUGCAUCCCUGAUAUUAUCACUUCCAGUCCAAACCAUUCCAUGAUACAUAACUGCACAUUAAUGAGCUCCACAGCAUAAGAGGUAACACAAAACCCUUUGGUGGACACCGAGUUUUAAGCUUACCUUAUGGUGUGCAAGAGGAGAGGAUUUUUCUUUAUUUCUUUUUUUCUUUUUCUUUCUUGUUGCAGCAUUCAAAUGUUAUCACACACACACGGAUCCCCUCGGUUUCUGAAGGGACAGGUGCUUUUCCAAGCAGCACGAAAAGUAAAACCGUGAAUGAUGCUGAGUUUAGUCAUGAGGAACACAGAACUGAGGAAAAAAAGCUUUGGGAAGGGGAUUAGUUUUUUUGUGCAAACCACUGAGCAAGGAAAUACACGUCUAGAUGGAAAUGUAUUUCUGUUGGCGGCACUUAAUGAUCCAGAGGUCUCAGAUGAAGAGAAUAUAAGGCCUGGAAAGUAACCAGACUUCUAGCCCCUACAAAUAAAGGAUGUUAAUUUAUUAAUAGCA
This 1922-nucleotide long non-coding RNA is filed under the name Cyanistes caeruleus (blue tit). RNAcentral describes it as "lncRNA (ENSCCEG00000023842.1)". Lineage: Eukaryota; Metazoa; Chordata; Aves; Passeriformes; Paridae. The record is from RNAcentral.